UAUUAAACCUACAAGUUGGGAUGAAUGCAUUCAUAGCAACAUUCAGGACUGGAUAGUCUCUAAUAUGAUGUACCCCUCGCUCUAUAUGACAGAUGAUAGUAACUGGAAACCAAGUUUGGAUUCAUUUGCUGGUUACUGUGGAACUGAAUGAAUAACAAGCUGUUUAAUGAAAAUUUUAUUGAGCAGGGGACACGGCUAACAAGGCUAAGGGUUAGCCUAUGAAAAAAUUUGUGCCUGAAUUUACAUGUGGACCUUGAGUGCCAAAACUCCUGGUUUGUGUCAUCACCUAGCUUGUGUUCAACCCUCUGCUAUGUGCUUUAUUACUAUGUCACCUAAGUCAUUAUGACUUCAGAAAGUUUAAUCUGGAAAACAUUCUUUAGAAUAUCUAUGCAAAUUUCUAAAGUUGGUGGAUACUUAUCUGUAGUAAUGUUUUAUCUAUUAUUAUCUAGUUUCCUCGACUUGUUUUUCUUUGUGUUUUUUAGUUCUUUACCACAAAUCCACUCCCCUGUCUUCCUUCAAGCUUGCUCAAGUAUCCUCCAACCCAAGUGUUUGAUGCAAAAAUAAGGGAUCAGGAAGCUAGAAGACAAGGAGCUUGCAGGAACCAAAGGUCGGAGACUUGAUUUCGACAGGAGAGCAACAAAAGAGUCUCGAGCCAUGCCAGCACCUGAUGCCAACGCUGAACAAUGCAGGUAAACUUAAGAUUCGGUUAUAAUGUAUGUUUGUAAUACAAAUAUAUGAUGUAUAUUCUAUGGAAAUAACAGUGGAUCAACUUCGAUUCACAUGAUGUAAUUAAUAAAUUCUAAAGAAGGAAACAGAAAUCCAGUUGAAAAAUGUAGUCUUAGGAUCUAUUCAUAACCAGAAGAAAUUUUAACAUCAAGAGUUUCCCAAGCUUGUGAACAAUAAAGAAUAGCAAUUUUGAGAUAA
Molecule: long non-coding RNA, 924 nt
Organism: Gossypium arboreum
Lineage: Eukaryota; Viridiplantae; Streptophyta; Magnoliopsida; Malvales; Malvaceae
Exons: 2
Source: RefSeq, a predicted model, not a curated record